This 390-nucleotide ribosomal RNA is filed under the name uncultured bacterium. Its description in RNAcentral is "bacterial SSU rRNA". It matches the Rfam family "Bacterial small subunit ribosomal RNA", at positions 139 to 518 of the family's 1533-position model. The record is from RNAcentral.
GGGGAUAGCUACUAGAAAUAGUAGAUAAUACCGAAUACGAGCACAGGGGUAGAGAUCUGUGAGGAAAGGAGCUAAGGCUCCGCUGAAGGAAUGGCCUGCGGCCCAUUAGCUAGUCGGUGAGGUAAGAGCCCACCAAGGCGAUGAUGGGUAUCCGGCCUUAGAGGGUGAACGGACACAUUGGGACUGAGAUACGGCCCAGACUCCUACGGGAGGCAGCAGCUAAGAAUAUUCCGCAAUGGACGAAAGUCUGACGGAGCGACGCCGCGUGGAUGAAGAAGGCCGGAAGGUUGUAAAAUCCUUUUGAAACUGAAGAAUAAGCGUUGUAGGGAAUGACAGCGUGGUGACAGUAGGUUUUGAAUAAGCAACGGCUAAUUACGUGCCAGCCGCAGC